RNA transcript from Salvia splendens (bonfire salvia), 2955 nucleotides. It is a transcript of the gene named QWRF motif-containing protein 2, with no coding region annotated. NCBI's taxonomy places the organism in Eukaryota, Viridiplantae, Streptophyta, Magnoliopsida, Lamiales, Lamiaceae. The transcript is spliced from 8 exons. The record is from RefSeq and is a predicted model, not a curated record.
UUGAACUUGCCCAAGAAUUCCUUGCUCCCAAACCUCAUCUCUCUCUCUCUCUCUCUCUCUCUCUCUCUCUCUCUCACACACACACACACACACUUUCUCUUUCUUAAUUCUUGCAGCAAACCCAUCCGCACCAUUGUUCAUAUUUUUGUUCCUAAAUUAGAUGGGCUGCUGUAUUGCGGCGUCUGACAUUCAAAGAAGAAGAAGAAAGCAAAAAAGGUGGAAUCUUUUGCAUACCCAUAACGCGUUCUUGAGCUACAGUGGGAUCUCUUGAUCCUGAAAUGCCGAUAACAAGAGGGUUCUGUGUAAGUCUCUUUCUUUCUACCGGAAUCAAAAUGUGAGGGUUUCCUCAAAUUUCACGUCUUUACACUCUCUCUCUCUCUCUCUGUGUUUGCGCUUCUUGAAUUGUGAUGAUGGUGGCUGCUGUUUCUGGAGCAGCUUCAACAACCGACCCCCAAAACCCCAAAACCACUAGGCCCCCAUUGUUGCCCUCUGAAAAAGAUAACAGCAAUGGGGUUUCCAAUAAUCUCAAAAAGCCCAAAUCAAGAAUUGUCUCUUCUAGAUACAUGUCCCCUUCAACUUCUUCCACUUCAACUUCCAAUUCAUCUUCACUUUCCUCCUCCUCCUCCUCCUCCUCCUCCUCCUCCUCCUCUUCUAGAAGGUUCCCCUCGCCUGUGGUGUCAAGAAACUCCACCCCUAUGGCGAAUACGCCGGCAUUAGCCUCUAAGAGGUCCGUUUCUGUAGACAGGAGAAGGUCCGUGACUGCCAGGCCUUUGAUUCCUGAUUUUGACCCUAAGAAUGGUGGUGUUUCAGCUGCCACUAAGCUUCUUGUGACCUCGACUAGGAGUUUGUCUGUUUCAUUUCAAGGGGAGGCGUUUUCGUUGCCUAUUAGUAAGACUAAGGUGACCCCUCCUUCCCCUAAUUUGAGUAGUGUGAGGAAGGGGACUCCGGAGAGGAGGAGGGGUAGUACUCCUUCGAGGGGGAAGGCCGAUGUUGUAGGUGGUCAGGUAGAGAGUUGUAAGGUUGUAGAUCAGCACAGGUGGCCAGCUAGGCAUCGGUUGAUGAAUCCCCUUUCGAGGAGUAUGGAUUGUAGUGGCAGUGUUGAGGAGAGCAGUACCCUGAGUGGAUCUGGGAAUGUUGUUCGAUCACUACAGAACUCAAUGAUUGAUGAGAGGAGGUCUUCGCUUGGUGGUAGGGCGAGUCUUGAUUUGGGCCACUCUGAGCUUCCAAAUGUGGCUCAGCGAUCCCCGUAUGGAAAUUCAGUUAAUAAUGAGGCGUUGAUGCCAUGUGACCUCACCACGUCUGAUUCGGAUAGUGUCUCAUCUGGUAGCACUUCAGGAGUUCAAGAAUGUGGCCCGGGUUCCCAAAGGAAAAAUGGGCCUCGUGGGAUUUUUGCAUCAGCGAAAUUUUGGCAAGAAACUAACAGCCGUCUUAGGAGACUGCAGGAUCCUGGCUCACCUUUGUCUACAAGUCCUGGUUCUAAACUGAUUGUGCCGCCUAAGUUGAAAAAGUAUAGUGGUAACGGUUCAAUUAUGUCAUCCCCAAGAACAAUGUCGACUCCUAUUCGUGGUAGUGUUAGGGCUGCAUCUCCUAGCAAGCUUAUGACACCUGUGGGAACGUCUCCAUCCAGGGGAUAUAGUCCAUCUCGCAUCAGAAAUGCUGUUAGCACCAUUAACAACAAUUUCACUGACACGCCCUCGGUUCUUAGUUUUGCUGUUGAUGUACAGAGAGGGAAAGUUGGGGAGAGAAAAAUCUUAGAUGCUCAUUUUUUGAGGCUUUUGUACAACCGGCACUUGCAGUGGCGCUUUGUAAAUGCUAGAACUGAAGCGGUCAUGCAUGUACAGAAAUGCAGUGCAGAGAAGAAUCUGUGGAACGCAUGGAUAACGAGCUCAGAUCUACGUGAUACUGUCGCUAAAAGAAGACACAGAUUGCAGUUGCUUAGACAAAAGUUGAAACUAGCUUCCAUUUUGAAAAAACAAAUGACCUUUUUGGAGGAUUGGGCAUCUUUGGAUGAAAACCACUUGAUUUCUGUGGUUGGAGCUAUUGAAGCUUUGAAGGCUAGCACUCUUCGUCUUCCAGUUGGCGGAGGAGCCACUGCCGACAUCCAAAGCUUGCAGAAAGCUAUCGGUUCAGCUGUUGAAGUCAUGCAAGCAAUGUCAAACUCAGCAUAUUUGCUUCUCCAAACUGUCGAGGAAGUGAGUUGUUUAGUGAGUGAACUGGCGAAAGUAAUGAAAAAGGAGAGAGCUUUGCUUGAGCAAUGUACUGACUACAUUUCCCUUUUAGAAGCCAUGCAGGUUAAAGAAAGUAAUCUAAGAACACACCUAGUACAGUGUAAUAACCGUGUACGGAAGAGCAUGUUCUAAGACAGAUAGAGCUACUGAUUGUAUCUGACUGCGCAUUCUACGUGCUAACUGUGACAUCGGUCGAGCUUUUAGACCUAGUGGAGGCAGCAUCCGAGGUGAUCGAGAGAGGGCAGACGACUGACUGACGACUAAUCUUCGGAGCGACGACAGACUUUCUGGAGCGACAAUAAACACGUUCGCUAGGCUGGACGGACAGGAUGAAGAGAAAAUGGAGCAUUGAAACACCGAACAAAGUCUGCAUACUCUGAUAUGUCACGCUUGAGCUGCAGUCCUCCGCUACAUGAUUUUUUACAUUAGUCAGAAUGGAAGAAAAUGUGGGAGUUAGUUACAACUUCACGUCUCACAACGAGAUAAAAUACAGUCAGGAAUGCAUCAUGUUGCUAAAUCAUAGGGCUAACAUGUGACAGACAUUGACUCUAUGAGUCCAAAUAUAGAGCCCUCUCAAUAUGCAUUGACCCUAUGGAGCUCAGGGCAGUAUUAUUUUCCCGGUCAAGCUCAUUCACGGUAAAGGUUUCCUAUUUACACGAUCAAUCUUAUCUACUCAACUAUGACUUUGAGCUUCUUACAUAGUAUAUUAUGAAUUUUCCCUCUUCCA